Molecule: ribosomal RNA, 400 nt
Filed under: Protoclythia rufa
Lineage: Eukaryota; Metazoa; Arthropoda; Insecta; Diptera; Platypezidae
Description: partial 12S ribosomal RNA
Source: RNAcentral
UCUGGGAUUAGAUACCCUGUUAUUUAAAAUGUAAAUAAAAAUACUUGAGUAUUAAUAGUUAUGGUCUUUAAACUUAAAAAAUUUGGCGGUAUUUUAGUCUAUUCAGAGGAACCUGUUUUAUAAUCGAUAAUCCACGAUGUACCUCACUUAAAUUUGUUAAUCAGUUUAUAUACCGUCGUUAUAGAAUAUUUUAUAAGAAAAAUAAUUUUCAAUAAUUAAAAUAAAUAAUAGAUAUCAGAUCAAGGUGUAGCUUAUAUUUAAGUAAUAAUGGGUUACAAUAAAAGUAUUUUUGGAUAUAAAAAUGAAAAAUUUAUUGAAAUUGGAUUUGAUAGUAAAAUUAAAUAGAUAAUUAAUUUGAUUAUAGCUCUAAAAUGUGUACAAAUCGCCCGUCACUCUCUGA